RNAcentral lists this long non-coding RNA (630 nucleotides) under Gossypium barbadense (sea-island cotton). Its description in RNAcentral is "long non-coding RNA (GBAR_LNC017936)". The record is from RNAcentral. Lineage: Eukaryota; Viridiplantae; Streptophyta; Magnoliopsida; Malvales; Malvaceae.
CCACAACCCCUAAACCAGAGUUCUCUUCUCUUUCUUAAGAAUCAAUGUCAUCCAUAAUAAUAACAAUAAUAAAAUUCCAUUAACAAAGCAAUAUAUAUACCCCUCUCCCUUCCAUCAUUUUUUUACACCCCAAAUCACUUACUAAUUAUAUAUUUCAGCAACUCAAUCUGAAAAAAGACAACCCUCAAAAAUCUUCUAGUAUUGCUCCAAGUAAAGAAAAACUCGGGGGAUCAUUUCUCUCUCUUUUCCCAUCAAUCUCAUCAGAUCAUCCACACUUUCCCUCAUAUCUAACAACCACAAAUCAUUAAAACUGCUAUUUCAACUCCAAAAUCUUCUUUUGUUUAGCUGCCUAACUCUCCUCACAAAUGGAAAUUGUGUCUAAUAUAAAUCAAUAGUCGGCAAGGUCUUCCACUCUCCCUUCCUUGUUAAAGCAAAGCACUUCUGAUUUUUUUUUUUACUUUGGGUUUUCUUCUUGACGGUGUUGUUUCAUAUCAACAGUUCUAUCUGCCAGAGAAAAGAGUAGAGACUAAAUUAUAUGUGUAAAACUAAAAUUUUUUGGUUCCUUGAUUAAUUUUUUUACAGUUUCUUCGACUUUGAUCUCUCCUUUUCUUGUUAGGUCUAUGUUACACU